Molecule: ribosomal RNA, 403 nt
Filed under: uncultured bacterium
Lineage: Bacteria
Description: bacterial SSU rRNA
Rfam family: Bacterial small subunit ribosomal RNA
Source: RNAcentral
GGGGAAUAUUGGGCAAUGGGGGCAACCCUGACCCAGCGACGCCGCGUGAGGGAAGAAGGCCUUAGGGUCGUAAACCUCUGUUGUGUGGGAAGAAGGAAGUGACGGUACCACACGAGGAAGUCCCGGCUAACUACGUGCCAGCAGCCGCGGUAAUACGUAGGGGACGAGCGUUGUCCGGAAUUACUGGGCGUAAAGGGCGCGUAGGCGGUCAUUUAAGUCAGCUGUGAAAUGGUCCGGCUCAACCGGAUCAUGCGGUUGAAACUGGAUGACUGGAGUGCUGGAGAGGCAAGUGGAAUUCCCAGUGUAGCGGUGAAAUGCGUAGAUAUUGGGAAGAACACCGGUGGCGAAGGCGACUUGCUGGCCAGCAACUGACGCUGAGGCGCGAAAGCCAGGGGAGCAAACG